This 478-nucleotide ribosomal RNA is filed under the name uncultured bacterium. Its description in RNAcentral is "partial 16S ribosomal RNA". It matches the Rfam family "Bacterial small subunit ribosomal RNA", at positions 28 to 523 of the family's 1533-position model. The record is from RNAcentral.
GACGAACGCUGGCGGCGUGCUUAACACAUGCAAGUCGAACGGUAAGGCCCUUCGGGGUACACGAGUGGCGAACGGGUGAGUAACACGUGGGUGAUCUGCCCUGCACUUCGGGAUAAGCCUGGGAAACUGGGUCUAAUACCGGAUAGGACCACUGCCUGCAUGGGUGGUGGUGGAAAGCUUUUGCGGUGUGGGAUGGGCCCGCGGCCUAUCAGCUUGGUGGUGGGGUGAUGGCCUACCAAGGCGACGACGGGUAGCCGGCCUGAGAGGGUGACCGGGCACACUGGGACUGAGAUACGGCCCAGACUGCUACGUGAGGCAGCAGUGGGGAAUAUUGCACAAUGGGCGCAAGCCUGAUGCAGCGACGCCGCGUGAGGGAUGACGGCCUUCGGGUUGUAAACCUCUUUCAGCACCGACGAAGCGCAAGUGACGGUAGGUGCAGAAGAAGGACCGGCCAACUACGUGCCAGCCGCCGCGGUAA